Molecule: non-coding RNA, 531 nt
Organism: Pelobates cultripes (western spadefoot toad)
Lineage: Eukaryota; Metazoa; Chordata; Amphibia; Anura; Pelobatidae
Source: the annotation of a GenBank genome assembly
AUGUUACGUAUUGUUUAAAUUUCGAUCUGUAAGGAGCAUGGUAAUGCCUGCUGCUAAAACAGGAAGGGAUAGAAGUAGAAGUACAGCGGUAAUUAAAACCGAUCAAACAAAUAGAGGGGUUUGGUAUUGAGUUAUGGCAGGUGGUUUCAUAUUCAAGAUGGUAGUGAUAAAGUUAAUUGCCCCCAGAAUUGAUGAAACGCCUGCUAAAUGGAGGGAAAAAAUGGUCAAAUCAACUGAUGCUCCUGCAUGGGCUAAAUUUCCAGCUAAAGGAGGAUACACAGUCCAACCGGUUCCGGCCCCUGAUUCUACUGCUGAUGAGGCAAGAAGUAGUAAGAAAGAUGGAGGUAAGAGUCAGAAGCUUAUGUUAUUCAUUCGUGGGAAUGCCAUAUCUGGGGCCCCAAUUAUUAAGGGAAUCAGUCAAUUACCAAACCCUCCGAUCAUGAUUGGUAUCACUAUAAAGAAAAUUAUUACGAAUGCAUGUGCGGUAACGAUUACGUUAUAAAUUUGGUCGUCUCCAAGAAGCGUUCCUGG